RNAcentral lists this long non-coding RNA (1362 nucleotides) under Apteryx owenii (little spotted kiwi). Its description in RNAcentral is "lncRNA (ENSAOWG00000011110.1)". Lineage: Eukaryota; Metazoa; Chordata; Aves; Apterygiformes; Apterygidae. The record is from RNAcentral.
GCAACGGGGACGCUCAGUCCCAGCUGCCCGGCCAUGGCGAUCGGAGAGGAGCAUCYGUCCGCGCUCUCGGACAGGCAGGUAAAGCUGUGCGUGCACGGGCAGCCCUCCGCGGAGACCCUGUCCGGGCCUCGCGCGCCUGCGCUGGCCGCGGGGCCCCCCCUCGCCCCGGAGAUGCGGGGAGGCUGCAAGAGGCGGCGGGSACGGGAGCAUCCGCCAGCGAGCAGGUCCCGGCCCGCGCGGACGAGGAGCCGGGGGUCUCCAGCGCCCGGUGGCGUUUCCCGCGGGCGGCAGCUUCUGCUUGGCUCGCCGGCGUCGCCGUGACUCACCGUCCCACGCCGCUCCGGCUCCGGCUCCGGCUCCGGCGGUCCCUCGGGUGCCUCCCUGCCCUGCAGGCAGCCCCGCACUGCCCUGUCUGGGAGCCGCUCGCAACCGCGCGCCCGGGGCUGGACGCGGCUUCUGGGCGCUGCCCUGCCCCGGGCGAGGGAAACCGGCCCGUGGCCCGCAGGGCUGCUCGGCUCCUGGCACUGGGAUCCCAGCUGGGGACGCUGGAACACCCGAGGGGAGCGACUCCGGAUGCGCUCGGGGCGCCGCGUCCUCUGGACACGGAGGGGGAACAAGGCUUUUGCUGCGGCGAAACCGGACCCAGCGCUCGCCUCUCCCCUUGCAGAUCUUCGUGCUGACGUGCACCUACCUGCCGGCCUCGCUGCUGAGCCUCGUGGGCAGCGGAUCGGUCCUGGUGGCGACCACCCGGUGCGGGCGGUGCUGCCGCAGCCAGGUGCGUGUCCGGAGCGGGAGCCGAGGGGACCUGCGCAGCCAGGGAUGCAGCUGCUGGGAGUCAACGAGCGCCGUCUUCCACCCCCCAGCUCCGGCCCCUUUUCCUCUUGGCCCUGGCCGAUUCCCUGGCUGCGGCAGCGCUGCUCUGCACGGCCGCCGUCCAGCUCCUGCCAGCCCCGCUCUUCAUCCCUGCCUACGCCUUCUGCCCCUACGGACGCGCGCUGGCCACGACCUUCUACGCGGUCUCCUUCCUCAUGGUCAUCGUCUACGCCUACGAAGCCUACCGCGCCAUGCACGGCUGGCGAGCGCAGCCCGCGGCGCAGGUCAGUGCCCUGCCGGCUCCGUUACCUGCCGAUCCGGUGCAGGGCGAGCGGGGAGGACGCAGCCGGGGCUCUGCUGCCCUGUGCCCACAGCACCGGCCCCGCGGCAGCCCGGGCUGGCGCAUCCCCAGGGAUUGCAGCGGCUCCUGCUGCAGCCGCGGGGGCUGCCCCGUCCCGGAGGAGCCGGGGCCAUGCCGUGUCCUUGCAGGGCAGCGGCCGGUGCCCGGCGAGCGCGUGGCAGGGGCUGCCCUACGUCCUGGCCUGGUAG